This 253-nucleotide ribosomal RNA is filed under the name uncultured bacterium. RNAcentral describes it as "partial 16S ribosomal RNA". It matches the Rfam family "Bacterial small subunit ribosomal RNA", at positions 524 to 776 of the family's 1533-position model. The record is from RNAcentral.
UACAGAGGGGGCAAGCGUUAUUCGGAAUUAUUGGGCGUAAAGGGCGCGUAGGCGGCCUGGCAAGUGGAAGGUGAAAUCCCUCGGCUUAACCGAGGAACUGCCUUCCAAACUGCUUGGCUUGAGUCCGGGAGAGGUGAGUGGAAUUCCCAGUGUAGCGGUGAAAUGCGUAGAUAUCGGGAGGAACACCUGUGGCGAAAGCGGCGCACUGGACCACAUCUGACGCUGAGGCGCGAAAGCUAGGGGAGCAAACAGG